Oncorhynchus mykiss (rainbow trout) is the source of this 1713-nucleotide non-coding RNA. NCBI's taxonomy places the organism in Eukaryota, Metazoa, Chordata, Actinopteri, Salmoniformes, Salmonidae. The record is from RefSeq and is a predicted model, not a curated record.
AGUAGGGCCUGCCAUCAUUCACUAUGAACUGGACUGUGUGUUUACAGGCAGUAGGGCCUGCCAUCAUUCACUAUGAACUGGACUGUGUGUUUACAGGCCGUAACAACAGCGUGACUUCAGAUCAUUAGAACACUUUCACCAAAAGACACAAAAUACACCUGAAUAGAUUUCUGUAAAUAUUUAAAAACACAACGGGAGUCCUCAUACAUUAGGGAACUUUACAGUCCUAUUGAUUAAACAACCAUGAAAAGGUAGACUCUCGCUCCCUUUGUUAUACACAUCAACAACAACCAGAUCAACAACUUAUGCUAGCCAGAACAAGAUGAACUCAUAUCUAACAAAGAAACAUUAGGUAAACCCUCUCAAACUUUUCCAGCUAGUUGGCUGUCAAAAUUGGACUGAUAAACGACGGAGCUUACCCACCAAUGCAUGCUUGUCCCAACCCACGCUUUGACAACUGAAUGGGAACUUGCCUGCCCUCACAUUUGAUCGAUGCCAAAUACAUUUGAUUGACAACUAAUGGUGCGUUCAUAAUUGCCUCCAGUGUGUCAGAAUGCGAUCUGGGUCGUUUGUAAAUUCAGAGCGUUUCGCUGUCUCAGUGUUCUGUUAUGGAUGGUUGUGUCAACUACAACAAUGUCUCAGUGUUCUGUUAUGGAAGGUUGAGUCAACUACAACAAUGUCUCAGUGUUCUGUUAUGGAAGGUUGAGUCAACUACAACAAUGUCUCAGUGUUCUGUUAUGGAAGGUUGUGUCAACUACAACAAUGUCUCAGUGUUCUGUUAUGGAAGGUUGAGUCAACUACAACAAUGUCUCAGUGUUCUGUUAUGGAAGGUUGAGUCAACUACAACAAUGUCUCAGUGUUCUGUUAUGGAAGGUUGAGUCAACUACAACAAUGUCUCAGUGUUCUGUUAUGGAAGGUUGUGUCAACUACAACAAUGUCUCAGUGUUCUGUUAUGGAAGGUUGAGUCAACUACAACAAUGUCUCAGUGUUCUGUUAUGGAAGGUUGAGUCAACUACAACAAUGUCUCAGUGUUCUGUUAUGGAAGGUUGAGUCAACUACAACAAUGUAUCAGUGUUCUGUUAUGGAAGGUUGAGUCAACUACAACAAUGUCUCAGUGUUCUGUUAUGGAAGGUUGAGUCAACUACAACAAUGUCUCAGUGUUCUGUUAUGGAAGGUUGCGUCAACUACAACAAUGUCUCAGUGUUCUGUUAUGGAACGUUGAGUCAACUACAACAAUGUCUCAGUGUUCUGUUAUGGAAGGUUGAGUCAACUACAACAAUGUCUCAGUGUUCUGUUAUGGAAGGUUGUGUCAACUACAACAAUGUCUCAGUGUUCUGUUAUGGAAGGUUGAGUCAACUACAACAAUGUCUCAGUGUUUUGUUAUGGAAGGUUGUGUCAACUACAACAAUGUCUUAUUCUACGUCAUGGAUUUUUGGCUCAAAUAGAACAUAUUUUUAAAACCCCUUUACGAAGUUGGUUUUGUAGCAUGAACUGGGAAUGUGAUAUUUUUGACUGAUAUUAUGAUUGUCUGUUUGUUUCAUGCUUGCCAAGUAGUUAAAACACUUUCCCUUCCACUCUACAUUAUUACUGUAAUGAUGCUCUUAUUACAUAUGUGUUAACUGUUGUUACUUCUGUUGUCAAUUCACUUGUUUCAUAUGUUGUUAAUGUUGUUACCAAUUUGAAUAAAUGUAUUUGAUGUACAAAUGUAUUGUU